GACGAACGCUGGCGGCGUGCUUAACACAUGCAAGUCGAACGGUGAAGCCCUUCGGGGUGGAUCAGUGGCGAACGGGUGAGUAACACGUGAGCAACCUGCCCCUGGCUCUGGGACAACCACUGGAAACGGUGGCUAAUACCGGAUACGACCCGCCUCGGCAUCGAGUGUGGGUGGAAAGUUUUUCGGCUGGGGAUGGGCUCGCGGCCUAUCAGCUUGUUGGUGAGGUGAAGGCUCACCAAGGCGACGACGGGUAGCCGGCCUGAGAGGGCGACCGGCCACACUGGGACUGAGACACGGCCCAGACUCCUACGGGAGGCAGCAGUGGGGAAUAUUGCACAAUGGGCGAAAGCCUGAUGCAGCGACGCCGCGUGAGGGAUGACGGCCUUCGGGUUGUAAACCUCUUUCAGCUCAGAAGAAGCGAAAGUGACGGUAGGAGCAGAAGAAGCACCGGCUAACUACGUG
This 462-nucleotide ribosomal RNA is filed under the name uncultured bacterium. RNAcentral describes it as "partial 16S ribosomal RNA". It matches the Rfam family "Bacterial small subunit ribosomal RNA", at positions 28 to 507 of the family's 1533-position model. The record is from RNAcentral.